CGGCGGACCCAAUCCUCUUUGAUGAAGAAGAGGGCCACGGCGGACCCAAUCCUCUUUGAUGAAGAAGAGGGCCACGGCGGACCCCCUCCCUCCUUGAUGAAGAUGCCCCUUUGCCCCAGGAUGUCUUAAGCUUGACUGCUGUGGCCUGAACCUGCCUCUGUGCCAACGGAUAAAGACUACCAAGGUACUACUACCACAGCACAUGCCUCCCUCCCUGAUGAAGACGGCCACAGCGGACCCCCCCUCCCUCCUUGAAGAAGAUGCCCCUUUGCCCCAGGAUGUCUUGAGCUGGAAUUCUGUGGCGUGACCUGAGGUCAAAGUCUACUGCCCCGACCUCCAGACCUAACCUCCAACUGGAGCAAGUCACCCACAGGACAUGGUCGACCAUCCAGUUUAACGAGGAUUGUGCCACCGCGUGUGGGGGGGGGGGUUCAGAGUCAGGGUCACACGUAGUCAGUCAGUUAUUUUAAUUGUUUUUUUGUUUUUUUUAUUGAAAGUUUGUUGGCGAUACAUAGGUUGUUUGAAAGUUGUUGAACGUAGUUAUGCUGAUGUGUUGGAUGUUCUACCUCAGUACGUUUUAAUCAACCUGGGAUGAAAGCAGAAUAACGUAGUCAUUUGAACAGGAUUUCUUACAUGAUGUGAACUGUUGAGGUUUUGCUAAUGGAUGAUUUUAUUGACUGGUUUUUGAGGAGUUGUUUGAAUUUAAAUUUUACGACAGUUAGUUUGCUUCGAUACUGGUUAAUUUUAACUGAUUGUGUAUUCAGCCCAUGGAUGAUGUAUUAUGAAAAAUAUUCAGUCUUCAUUGGCAUCGGACUGUUUGCUAUCAAAUUAUUGAUUAAUUCAUCACACAUUAAAUAUCUGCUUAUUUAGUUGACUGGUUCCAUUGUAUUAAAGAUGGAGGUACGUGGGCCAGUUGUGUUUAGACUUUCACCACCAAAAUGUUCCUGUUUAUUGCAAUUUACAGAUAAUUGGGAAAAGUUUAAAGCUGCCUUGUCUCACUCUGCCAAGUUUAAUUCCAACUGAAGACUCAAGUUGAACCUUUCUGUUCAAUUAAGUUUAGUAUCAUGAUGGGAGGCCUCCCAGCAGGGGAAUUUAACCCACCCCUGCAAAUCGUUAUGACACUUGCGUACGUUAAACAUAAUCCGUGAUGCAGGGACACUUCUGGACAGUUUCAUACGUGGGAUUGUCUUCACUCUGUAGGAAGGGCACAGGAUAGGAGCGCGUUUGGGUUGUUUGGGACGAGCUAAACUUGGCAGAGAGACAACUCAUUUAAACUUUAUUCUAAUUUAUGACCAAAUUGAGGUGAACCAGGUUGAUGCCAGGUUCUCCUGAGUUACCAGUUAUUGACAUAUCUCAAACUAAGGCAUUAUACCGUGGGCUGAAUUCUAGAUGUCUUGUUCAACUGUAUUUGUAUGUAUGGGAUAAGUACAUAGGAUUUUGGUUUCGUGACUAUGGUUGUAGACCGUUGGUAAGUGCCCUCCUGUGGCAGAAGUGUGCAGCUGCAGUAUUAAGUGUUGAUUUCAUUAGUGGAAGCUUGACUUCUGGGAUUCACAUUGUCUCAACUUUUUUUAUGUGGACAAACCUUACUAAAGGGUUUGUGAUCAUUUUGUUCUUGUUUUUGUUGAGUCUUUAGUUCCAUUUCAACACUUUGGGGCCACAAAUGAGGAGCCACCAGCUGAAAUGGCCCAACGGGAUUGUAUGGUAUGGCUGAAAUGUAUUUUGGAUGAAGAGGUUACAUCAGAACCUCCUGUACACAUCUUUUCAACAUCGGCUCACUGUUGUCUUUGCUGUCCAAUAUUUGUAACUUUCUAGAAUUAACAAUCUGACAUUGAUGCCAACUUGAUACCACGGUGGACUAGCUCGGUGAGUUAUUUGGGACAAUGUUUAAUCCAACAUCCAAGUUUGUUGCAUGAGAAACAACGAUAACCUGGUUGUCUGGGCGGAGUUCUUCCUCUGCUGUUGAUUCUGUUGCUUCUUCCUGAAGUUUCUCUCUGCUUCAACCCUCAUUUGACUUCGCAUGGAAACGAUCCCUCUUCUUUGUCCCCACGUCUCACCAUCUCUUUAUGUGGCCUGUCGACGCUCACUGCUGCCGUUGCACCUGUAAAAGGAAGUUGUUUUCUUAAUUCAGCUUGACUGUUUUCACAUGUCUGGGUAGAUGUGUCUGUUGACCACUGACUGAGCAGAAAACUUGAAAUGCUUGAUCCUAAUUUAUCCAAAGGCUACAAUAGACUAAUCUGUUUACAAGUCACUCUAAAAAUAGAGAUUCUGAAAUGUUGCGUGUCUUCAGUACCAUUUCUGAGGGACUGUAACCCAACCCUCAGUCUGUAAAACAGCUGGGCUUGCUGCCUGUUUUUCUUAAUUUAGAGAUCAGUGAGGAUUUAAUGAGUUGGGUUUCCUUAUCUACAGAGAACAAGGUAAAUUGAGUCGACUCGCAUAAGAAGGCAAGGAUUUACUCCUUCCCCUUGUUCUCUGUAUUUGAGGAAGUCUGGUCAUGGACCCUUACAGUGUUUUGCCAGUUUCCAAAACCAGACAAGGAUCCAUCUGGUUUUGGGGAUAUCUUGGCAAACAUUAGCGAUUAUUGGGAACAUGGUAAAGAAUUGCAUAAGAGCAAAAUACACCAUGAUCACUUGUAGAGGGUGAGUCUGAAGCAUUUGGAUGAAUCAGGAUCAAGCGCUUCUAGUUGUCUGCUUCAUCAAUGAUCGUUUGCCACGUCUUACCAAACACAUGAAAACAGUCACGCUGAGCUGGGAGACGCC
Long non-coding RNA from Hippoglossus stenolepis (Pacific halibut), 2756 nucleotides. RefSeq lists it as uncharacterized. NCBI's taxonomy places the organism in Eukaryota, Metazoa, Chordata, Actinopteri, Pleuronectiformes, Pleuronectidae. The transcript is spliced from 3 exons. The record is from RefSeq and is a predicted model, not a curated record.